Molecule: ribosomal RNA, 253 nt
Filed under: uncultured bacterium
Lineage: Bacteria
Description: partial 16S ribosomal RNA
Rfam family: Bacterial small subunit ribosomal RNA
Source: RNAcentral
UACGAAGGGGGCUAGUGUUGCUCGGAAUCACUGGGCGUAAAGCGCACGUAGGCGGCUUCUUAAGUCAGGGGUGAAAUCCUGGAGCUCAACUCCAGAACUGCCUUUGAUACUGAGGAGCUUGAGUCCGGGAGAGGUGAGUGGAACUCCGAGUGUAGAGGUGAAAUUCGUAGAUAUUCGGAAGAACACCAGUGGCGAAGGCGGCUCACUGGCCCGGUACUGACGCUGAGGUGCGAAAGCGUGGGGAGCAAACAGG